AAUUGUUGAAGCAGCCAGUAAUGUAGAAAUGUAGAACUCCUUGUUCUACUCUUUCCCCCCUUCUCACUACUGCACUUGAGUAGUCUAAA
Molecule: small RNA, 89 nt
Filed under: Cavia porcellus (domestic guinea pig)
Lineage: Eukaryota; Metazoa; Chordata; Mammalia; Rodentia; Caviidae
Description: Y RNA (ENSCPOG00000029294.2)
Source: RNAcentral